CAGAGAGGGGAAGGCACAACUCUUCCUGGGAGAGAGCUGCGCAGUCUGUGUGGAGACACAGAAUGGGGCAGCAGUAUGAGUCCCAGACACCAGUCCAGAGGCAAGAGCCAGGAGUGAAAUGAUUCAAGGAUCAGAAAGUGCCAUUUUAUAUCAGCUCCUACUUUGAUGACACCUUGGAAAGCAAACAACUUUCUUCAAAGGGCACUAGAGAAGCUAGGUCAUCAUGCCAGGAAAAACAAUGAAGAGAGAACAACAGAGGUUUAAACCAGUGUGUGUGCAACUUCUGUCCCUAGCCAUAUAGAUCAGCAUGUCCGUAUGACAUAUGCAUCCCAGACCGCUGAAGCUUUCUGGGACCACACAGGCAACUGGAGAAAUACCAGAAGACUAAAGGAAAUCAAAUGUAAUGCUGACUUAAAAUAAAGAUAAGAGGAGCAAUCCUGGAA
This is a long non-coding RNA of Alligator sinensis (Chinese alligator), 443 nucleotides long. RefSeq lists it as uncharacterized. The transcript is spliced from 3 exons. The record is from RefSeq and is a predicted model, not a curated record. NCBI's taxonomy places the organism in Eukaryota, Metazoa, Chordata, Crocodylia, Alligatoridae.